Molecule: ribosomal RNA, 244 nt
Filed under: uncultured bacterium
Lineage: Bacteria
Description: partial small subunit ribosomal RNA
Rfam family: Bacterial small subunit ribosomal RNA
Source: RNAcentral
AGAAUCAACGCUGGCGGCGUGCCUAACACAUGCAAGUCGCACGAGAAAGGGGAGCAAUCCCUGAGUAAAGUGGCGCACGGGUGAGUAACACGUGAAUAAUCUACCUCCGAGUGGGGAAUAACUGAGAGAAAUCUUAGCUAAUACCGCAUAACACUUACGAGUCAAAGCAGCAAUGCGCUUGGAGAGGAGUUCGCGGCCGAUUAGUAGUUGGCGGGGUAAUGGCCCACCAAGACGAUGAUCGGUA